This 455-nucleotide ribosomal RNA is filed under the name uncultured Clostridium sp. RNAcentral's name for it is "bacterial SSU rRNA". It matches the Rfam family "Bacterial small subunit ribosomal RNA", at positions 926 to 1382 of the family's 1533-position model. Lineage: Bacteria; Bacillati; Bacillota; Clostridia; Eubacteriales; Clostridiaceae. The record is from RNAcentral.
CAAGCAGCGGAGCAUGUGGUUUAAUUCGAAGCAACGCGAAGACCUUACCUAGACUUGACAUCUCCUGAAUUACCCGUAACUGGGGAAGCUCUUCGGAGCAGGAAGACAGGUGGUGCAUGGUUGUCGUCAGCUCGUGUCGUGAGAUGUUGGGUUAAGUCCCGCAACGAGCGCAACCCUUAUCGUUAGUUGCUACCAUUAGGUUGAGCACUCUAGCGAGACUGCCCGGGUUAACCGGGAGGAAGGUGGGGAUGACGUCAAAUCAUCAUGCCCCUUAUGUCUAGGGCUACACACGUGCUACAAUGGUGAGGACAAAGAGACGCAAGACCGCGAGGUGGAGCAAAUCUCACAAACCUCAUCCCAGUUCGGAUUGCAGGCUGAAACUCGCCUGCAUGAAGCCGGAGUUGCUAGUAAUCGCGAAUCAGCAUGUCCGCGGUUCCGAAUACGUUCCGGGCCUU